RNAcentral lists this small RNA (28 nucleotides) under Bombyx mori (domestic silkworm). Its description in RNAcentral is "ovarian small RNA-26657". The record is from RNAcentral. Lineage: Eukaryota; Metazoa; Arthropoda; Insecta; Lepidoptera; Bombycidae.
UCCACCUCUGGCCGUGAUAGCCGCCUGC